Molecule: ribosomal RNA, 1017 nt
Filed under: uncultured bacterium
Lineage: Bacteria
Description: partial 16S ribosomal RNA
Source: RNAcentral
AACACCUUACGGCACGAGCUGACGACAGCCAUGCAGCACCUGUCUCAAUGUUCCCGAAGGCACCAAUCUAUCUCUAGAAAGUUCAUUGGAUGUCAAGGCCUGGUAAGGUUCUUCGCGUAGCUUCGAAUUAAACCACAUGCUCCACCGCUUGUGCGGGCCCCCGUCAAUUCAUUUGAGUUUUAACCUUGCGGCCGUACUCCCCAGGCGGUCAACUUAAUGCGUUAGCUGCGCCACUAAAAGCUCAAGGCUCCCAACGGCUAGUUGACAUCGUUUACGGCGUGGACUACCAGGGUAUCUAAUCCUGUUUGCUCCCCACGCUUUCGUACCUCAGUGUCAGUAUCAGUCCAGGUGGUCGCCUUCGCCACUGGUGUUCCUUCCUAUAUCUACGCAUUUCACCGCUACACAGGAAAUUCCACCACCCUCUACCAUACUCUAGUCAGUCAGUUUUGAAUGCAGUUCCCAGGUUGAGCCCGGGGAUUUCACAUCCAACUUAACAAACCACCUACGCGCGCUUUACGCCCAGUAAUUCCGAUUAACGCUUGCACCCUCUGUAUUACCGCGGCUGCUGGCACAGAGUUAGCCGGUGCUUAUUCUGUCGGUAACGUCAAAACCAUCACGUAUUAGGUAAUGGCCCUUCCUCCCAACUUAAAGUGCUUUACAAUCCGAAGACCUUCUUCACACACGCGGCAUGGCUGGAUCAGGCUUUCGCCCAUUGUCCAAUAUUCCCCACUGCUGCCUCCCGUAGGAGUCUGGACCGUGUCUCAGUUCCAGUGUGACUGAUCAUCCUCUCAGACCAGUUACGGAUCGUCGCCUUGGUGAGCCAUUACCCCACCAACUAGCUAAUCCGACCUAGGCUCAUCUGAUAGCGCAAGGCCCGAAGGUCCCCUGCUUUCUCCCGUAGGACGUAUGCGGUAUUAGCGUCCGUUUCCGAACGUUAUCCCCCACUACCAGGCAGAUUCCUAGGCAUUACUCACCCGUCCGCCGCUCUCAAGAGAAGCAAGCUCCUCUCUACCGCUC